Molecule: non-coding RNA, 208 nt
Organism: Pelobates cultripes (western spadefoot toad)
Lineage: Eukaryota; Metazoa; Chordata; Amphibia; Anura; Pelobatidae
Source: the annotation of a GenBank genome assembly
GUGGGAGUCCUACUUUGGUAAGCGUGGCAAAUAGAAAGGGCCAGAGAAGGCGAUCAAAUGCCUUCUCAGUGUCUAGUGAGAGGAUUAGGGUGGGAAUUUUAUGGGCGUUGGCUGUCCAGUUUAGGUCAAACACUUUCCUGGUGUUGUUCCCUGCUUGUCUCGCGGGUCUGAAGCCCACUUGAUCUGGGUGAAUUAAUUUGGGAAGAAA